AUACGGAGGGUGCAAGCGUUAAUCGGAAUUACUGGGCGUAAAGCGCGCGUAGGCGGCUUGAUAAGUCGGAUGUGAAAUCCCCGGGCUUAACCUGGGAAUUGCAUUCGAUACUGUCAGGCUAGAGUGUGGUAGAGGGAAGUGGAAUUUCCGGUGUAGCGGUGAAAUGCGUAGAUAUCGGAAAGAACAUCAGUGGCGAAGGCGGCUUCCUGGAUCAACACUGACGCUGAGGUGCGAAAGCGUGGGGAGCAAACAGAAUUAGAAACCCUAGUAGUCC
Molecule: ribosomal RNA, 274 nt
Filed under: uncultured bacterium
Lineage: Bacteria
Description: partial 16S ribosomal RNA
Rfam family: Bacterial small subunit ribosomal RNA
Source: RNAcentral